This 253-nucleotide ribosomal RNA is filed under the name uncultured bacterium. RNAcentral describes it as "partial 16S ribosomal RNA". It matches the Rfam family "Bacterial small subunit ribosomal RNA", at positions 524 to 776 of the family's 1533-position model. The record is from RNAcentral.
UACGUAGGGGGCAAGCGUUGUCCGGAUUUAUUGGGCGUAAAGAGCGUGUAGGCGGCUAGGUAGGUCCGUUGUGAAAACUCGAGGCUCAACCUCGAGACGUCGAUGGAAACCAUCUGGCUAGAGUCCGGAAGAGGAGAGUGGAAUUCCUGGUGUAGCGGUGGAAUGCGCAGACAUCAGGAGGAACACCGAUGGCGAAGGCAGCUCGCUGGGACGGUACUGACGCUGAGGCGCGAAAGCGUGGGGAGCGAACAGG